Molecule: long non-coding RNA, 790 nt
Filed under: Sparus aurata (gilthead seabream)
Lineage: Eukaryota; Metazoa; Chordata; Actinopteri; Spariformes; Sparidae
Description: lncRNA (ENSSAUG00010007354.1)
Source: RNAcentral
UAACUUCCAGCCUGCGAAAAACUGACCAAUGGCGAGCGAGAUAUCUUUUCAAACACUGUAAAUGAUUUUGGUUGAAGCAGCUUUUUAGGACACAAGAGAUAAGUUGAAGUUAACCGUCAGUACUAACGAAAAGUUGGCAGAGCAGAAGCAGGAGAGCUGAAGGCUGCAGCAGGACUGACUUCCACCUGAGGAUGAGCGUCUGUGUGGUGGAGGAGGACAGAGCAGAGUCUCCAGGACCCGUCUGUCUGUCUGUGAAGAGUGACCAGUCUAAAGAUAGUCCUCUGUUAUUCAGUCAUGAACCUGGACCCUCAGCCACAAAAGUUCAGCCCAACAGACAGAGAUCAGAGUUUCCAGGAUCCAGCUGUGUGUCCAUGCAGAGUGACCAGUCCGAUGAGCCACCUUCAGGCUUCAGUGAUGAACCUGGACCCUCACACACAAAGUAAAAAGCUGUUUUUACUGUAAACUCACCCGAUGAAGAUGAUGCACUGAGGGGUUUCAUAACUUCACAGGGGUGCAAAAGAGCAAGCAGUCGACUGAGACCUGUGUGAGACGCUGAAUGGUCCAAUAUUGAAGCAGCUCCUUCUGUCAAUUUAAAUCAAAACAAGUGAACACGUAGGAAUAUUUUGUGGGGAGGCAGGAGUGGCAGAAAAAUAUCACAACAAUAGAUCUAAAAUCGGUUAAAUAAAGAUACUUUAAAGUGAUCUUAGAAAAUUUAAGUGAUGAAUGUAAGAAAUAAAUAUGAAUUGUUUUUAAUGUUUGAUUUUGUCAUCACUGUCUUUUUUAACCAGUC